GAGGAUCCUGUAGCCAUAAAGAUUGCAG
This 28-nucleotide non-coding RNA is filed under the name Cricetulus griseus (Chinese hamster). Lineage: Eukaryota; Metazoa; Chordata; Mammalia; Rodentia; Cricetidae. The record is from RNAcentral.